RNAcentral lists this ribosomal RNA (1312 nucleotides) under Staphylococcus edaphicus. RNAcentral's name for it is "bacterial SSU rRNA". It matches the Rfam family "Bacterial small subunit ribosomal RNA", at positions 103 to 1401 of the family's 1533-position model. Lineage: Bacteria; Bacillati; Bacillota; Bacilli; Caryophanales; Staphylococcaceae. The record is from RNAcentral.
CGGGUGAGUAACACGUGGGUAACCUACCUAUAAGACUGGGAUAACUUCGGGAAACCGGAGCUAAUACCGGAUAACAUUUGGAACCGCAUGGUUCUAAAGUGAAAGAUGGUUUUGCUAUCACUUAUAGAUGGACCCGCGCCGUAUUAGCUAGUUGGUAAGGUAACGGCUUACCAAGGCGACGAUACGUAGCCGACCUGAGAGGGUGAUCGGCCACACUGGAACUGAGACACGGUCCAGACUCCUACGGGAGGCAGCAGUAGGGAAUCUUCCGCAAUGGGCGAAAGCCUGACGGAGCAACGCCGCGUGAGUGAUGAAGGGUUUCGGCUCGUAAAACUCUGUUAUUAGGGAAGAACAAACGUGUAAGUAACUGUGCACGUCUUGACGGUACCUAAUCAGAAAGCCACGGCUAACUACGUGCCAGCAGCCGCGGUAAUACGUAGGUGGCAAGCGUUAUCCGGAAUUAUUGGGCGUAAAGCGCGCGUAGGCGGUUUCUUAAGUCUGAUGUGAAAGCCCACGGCUCAACCGUGGAGGGUCAUUGGAAACUGGGAAACUUGAGUGCAGAAGAGGAAAGUGGAAUUCCAUGUGUAGCGGUGAAAUGCGCAGAGAUAUGGAGGAACACCAGUGGCGAAGGCGACUUUCUGGUCUGUAACUGACGCUGAUGUGCGAAAGCGUGGGGAUCAAACAGGAUUAGAUACCCUGGUAGUCCACGCCGUAAACGAUGAGUGCUAAGUGUUAGGGGGUUUCCGCCCCUUAGUGCUGCAGCUAACGCAUUAAGCACUCCGCCUGGGGAGUACGACCGCAAGGUUGAAACUCAAAGGAAUUGACGGGGACCCGCACAAGCGGUGGAGCAUGUGGUUUAAUUCGAAGCAACGCGAAGAACCUUACCAAAUCUUGACAUCCUUUGAAAACUCUAGAGAUAGAGCCUUCCCCUUCGGGGGACAAAGUGACAGGUGGUGCAUGGUUGUCGUCAGCUCGUGUCGUGAGAUGUUGGGUUAAGUCCCGCAACGAGCGCAACCCUUAAGCUUAGUUGCCAUCAUUAAGUUGGGCACUCUAGGUUGACUGCCGGUGACAAACCGGAGGAAGGUGGGGAUGACGUCAAAUCAUCAUGCCCCUUAUGAUUUGGGCUACACACGUGCUACAAUGGACAAUACAAAGGGCAGCUAAACCGCGAGGUCAUGCAAAUCCCAUAAAGUUGUUCUCAGUUCGGAUUGUAGUCUGCAACUCGACUACAUGAAGCUGGAAUCGCUAGUAAUCGUAGAUCAGCAUGCUACGGUGAAUACGUUCCCGGGUCUUGUACACACCGCCCGUCACA